UGUAUUCACUACUGUAAGUCACUAUGGGUAAGAGCGUCUGCUAAAUGACUAAAA
Molecule: non-coding RNA, 54 nt
Organism: Salmo salar (Atlantic salmon)
Lineage: Eukaryota; Metazoa; Chordata; Actinopteri; Salmoniformes; Salmonidae
Source: Rfam